Molecule: small nucleolar RNA, 136 nt
Filed under: Dasypus novemcinctus (nine-banded armadillo)
Lineage: Eukaryota; Metazoa; Chordata; Mammalia; Cingulata; Dasypodidae
Description: Small nucleolar RNA SNORA13 (ENSDNOG00000043286.1)
Rfam family: Small nucleolar RNA SNORA13
About the family: ACA13 is a member of the H/ACA class of snoRNA that guide the sites of modification of uridines to pseudouridines.
Source: RNAcentral
GGCCUUUGUGUUUUCCAUUCACUUUUGGAAACUAGUGAAUGUGGUGUCAAAAAAAGGUGUAAAUUAAAUUCUUUUGCAGCCUAUUCCUGUCCUUGAAUUUAUUGUGUUUGGUGUAAGAGCUGCAUAGGUAACAGUU